CGCUGAACUUAAGCAUAUCAAUAAGCGGAGGAAG
RNAcentral lists this ribosomal RNA (34 nucleotides) under Emarcea castanopsidicola. RNAcentral describes it as "partial 28S ribosomal RNA". Lineage: Eukaryota; Fungi; Ascomycota; Sordariomycetes; Xylariales. The record is from RNAcentral.